RNAcentral lists this ribosomal RNA (433 nucleotides) under uncultured bacterium. RNAcentral describes it as "partial 16S ribosomal RNA". It matches the Rfam family "Bacterial small subunit ribosomal RNA", at positions 29 to 507 of the family's 1533-position model. The record is from RNAcentral.
AACGAACGCUGGCGGCAUGCCUAACACAUGCAAGUCGAACGAAGGCUUCGGCGUUAGUGGCGCACGGGUGCGUAACGCGGGGGAAUCUGCCCUUUGGUUCGGAAUAACAGCUGGAAACGGCUGCUAAUACCGGAUGAUGACGAAAGUCCAAAGAUUUAUCGCCAGAGGAUGAGCCCGCGUUGGAUUAGGUAGUUGGGGGGGUAAAGGCCUACCAAGCCGACGAUCCAUAGCUGGUCUGAGAGGAUGAUCAGCCACACUGGGACUGAGACACGGCCCAGACUCCUACGGGAGGCAGCAGUGGGGAAUAUUGGACCAUGGGCGCAAGCCUGAUCCAGCAAUGCCGCGUGAGUGAUGAAGGCCCUAGGGUUGUAAAGCUCUUUUACCCGGGAAGAUAAUGACUGUACCGGGAGAAUAAGCCCCGGCUAACUCCGUG